CCCAAUAAAACAAUAUAAUUUGGCCAAUAUCCCUCCCAGUACUUUACCCAUCCUUCCCCUCUUCCCACACACUGGUCCCCUUUCUCUAUUUUAAUGAGGUCCUUUUGCUUUUAAUGCCAUCACCCUCCAGUUUUCUUUUUGUUUUUCCUCUCUAGCAUCCAUAUAGAGAGAUAACACAUGAAUCUUGAAAUUUUGAAUUUGGCUUAUUUCACUUAACAUAAUGAUCUCAAGUUCCAUUUUCCUGAAAAUGGCAUAAUUUCAUUUUUCUUUAUGGCUGUAUAAUAUUUCAUUGUGUGUGUGUGUGUGUGUGUGUGUGUGUUAUGGCUUAUUUCUACUAAGUCCAAUUUUCUUUGACUGAAUUUGCUUGAUCUGAGUUUUGUUAGGACAGUGUAGUUUCUCUGUCAACAUUUAGUCAUUAACAUAUUUUCCUUUGUGCAGUUUAGCUGUUGUCAGUUUUAGUUUGGGCUAUUAUUUUAACAAAAACAGGUAGGGACAAAACCCAAUUGAUUUAAGCAUCUAUGGAAACCACAAAUGGGGCCAGGUAGAAGCAGAUUGCACAGAAUCUGAGUGACAUGCCUUGGGCUAAGUUUUCAUUCACAGCAGAUGAGCAGAAAGGCAGAUCAAUGGUAACUAUACCGAUGACAAGAACUUCAAAGAAAUUUAUAAUGAGAUACAGAGGGUCAAAGUUAAAUUCAAGGCUAUCAUGAAUGAUGACUUUCUAAACUAUGCCCACAGUCUUGUGGCAUGUUUUGCUUGACUCUACCCCAGCAGGUCCUUGGUUUAUGUUGGAGGGAUCUGAGUUUCGUCAGUGUGGUGAAGCCUAAGAUCUCUGAGCUUGGGACCAGGUCAUCUGGGAUCCACCACUUGUUUUGAGUAUGUGGGCAAAUCUUUGUCCCACAAAGUUUCUGAUUUACUGUCAAAGAUGGGUUGGUCUUUAAAAGUUUGUAGACUUCUUUGAAAUCCUGAAAAAAAAAAUCUAUGAAAAUCUCCCCUUGGAAUUAUUUAUAUAGAUCCACCCAUAUUUUGCAUAUAAUUUGAGAAGUUUCAUGGACCCCUUCGUGUAGGCCCAAGGAUGAUGAGUUAAGAACACUCAGCCCAGUAUGGAAAAAAAAAAGCCCUCAGUUUAGGUGAUCUGUCAGGACCUAUCCAGGGUUGACAUGCUACCUAGGACUUAGGUGAUAUAUAUGUAUAUAUCUGCUACUUGAUACCUCAGAGCUGACACACACACCACUUAUGGAUAAAAAUGGAGACAUCUAGAAAAGGAAGAUCUGGAACCCUUAGCAUGCAUGAUUAAUCAAUCAGUGUUUUCAUUGUUAUCAUUAGUGGUCAAAAGCAUAGACCUUGGGAUUAUGCUUCUUUGGAUAAGAUGCUUAACCAUUCUGGGCCUCCAUUUUUGCGUGCAUAAUAUGGAAAUAUUAACAGUACCAACUUUGUAGGGCUGUUGUAUGAAAGAUCUACAUAUUCAACUAUGGUAGCUUUUAUUACCUCUAAUGAGCAGAUUUUUAGAUAAUUUAAUCACAGAUGAAGUGGUAACUGUCACAGCUGGUGAGUUUUAGAUAUUAUUUACUUUAACUCUGUCAUUUUACAAAGAGAGAAUCAGAAAGAGAAGGCAUUGCCUGAGGUCACCCAAAGUUGCCCCGUUCACCUGUGUUAGGGUUGCUCUCUGACAUUUCCCUUAGAUACCAGGAAAAUGUGACAGCUAACAUGACGUCAUCAGCACAGUGCUUUUCCAGGACAAGAGGAGGCCUGUCUCCAUGGAUGAGGUCCCAUGUGAUUAUUUACCUUAUUUGUAGAGUUCUCUGACACACCAGCUGUUUCUGCUGUGAGUAUAGAGUGAUUCAGGGCAGGUUGGACAUCAGUGGGUGUAAUUUCUACAAAUGCAAUUUGCAAGAACCUGUGAUGGUACCUGGAAAUUAGUCACUCUAAUUCUAAUUACAAGGCUUUUGCGAUUCCAGCUGAUUUCCAGCCACUCCCAGAGCAGACGUUUCAACCACCCAACUGCAAUAUAUGGGGACUUCUCAAUGUCACCACCAUUGAGAGAACUGGAACCUGUGGGGAAGCCUUUCAGAAAUGACCACCUUAGUAUCUGACCCUAAGCACAAACAAAGGUGGAAGCCUGCUCAAGAAACUUCCAAAGCUCAUCUAUUGGGAGACACAGGGAUGAUCCCAUAAGGCUGGGCUUAGCUUUGUGGAGGGAUCAGUAGAUUUAUGACUGGUAGAAUGAUUUGUGCUGCUGCUUUCUAAAAAGACCUGGGCUCCCUUCCUCAGAGCACAGCAAGAGACUUUUAGUGCCUCCCCUGGUCUGCUGGUUUCAGUGACUGUUAAAUUGUGCAAAGAGCACUGGGCCCACUGCCCGCCCUCUGGGUCCCUGAGUAAGACAAACAGCCCCUUCAUACUUGGUUCCUGUUCUCUAUGGCAUAAUUAUUUUCAGAAUUGAAUAUAAAUAAAAUAUUAGACAAUAUUAUUUGAACACUUAAUAAUUGCUAUACAAAUGAAAUAAUUUAUUAAAGUUUUCCUCUGCAUCCUGCAUUGUGUUCUGUGCUUCUCAGGAAAAACAACAGUUAGUCCCCAGAACCACCAUUGAGGAAGAAUGUGCCCUUGUCCCUAGUGUGUGUGAGGAAACUUAGCUAAAACAAAAUACCUGAGACUAAAUAAUUAAAAAAAUAAUAGAGGUUAUUUGGCUCAGAGUUCUUCAGACUAGAAGUUCAAGAGCAUGGUGCUAGAGAGGGCCUCACACUGCUUCAACUCAGGGCAAAAAGAGGAAGGGCAAGUUGGUACACGCAGAAGGGGCAGAACAUAAGGGCAGACUUACUUUGUAACAACCUUCUGUGGCAAGAACAAACCCAUGCCCAAGGCUUUAAUCUCUCUUUAUGAUCUAAUCACUUCUUAAAGGCCCUACCACCUCUCAAAACUGAGUUGGGAUUUAGAUUCCAACACAUGAACUUUUGGGGGAUCCAUUCAAACCAACUGCAGAAAUGGCAGCUUAGAGGGAUUUAAUCAUUUAAUAAGCUAGGGGCUUGGGGGUGUGACUCUGUGGAAGAUCACUGGCCUACUGGCCUAGCAAGCAUGAAGCCUUGGGUUUAAUCCCCACAACUGAAAAAAGAAAGUAUAAAAAGGGUAUUUUGGGGAUACAAACGCUGAAACCCAGGGUUGUCUAGUUGCAAACCCUGAGCUCACGAUCAUCAUGUUCUCCUGAUGCCUCACUUGCUGUCUGUAUCAGGCAGGUGUCUUAAAGCACUUAAGAUAUACCUUUCCUCACACCAUUGUAGGGCAGAAAAAAAUGUUCUCUCCCCAUGUUAACUGUAGCCCAUGUGGAGUUAUCAGGCUUUCACAAUGAUUAUCCCUAAUAUUUUAAAGGGCCAUACUAAAGUUUUUGGUGAUUCAGAAAGAUGGGUUCCUGAAGUGAAAGGGGUUGAUAGAUAUUCAACAAGUAGCCCUAAUUCUGUUUUUUGUAAAAUAAAAUUUAUGUGAGGCCUUGGUUAGAACUUAUAGUCAGACAGACUAGACUCUGACACUUAGUAGCUUUGGGUCCUUAGAGACAUAACCUCUCUGGGUCUCAGGUUCUUCACCUGUCAGAUGGAAUAUUCUAGAAUGUAACUUAGAGUGUCACUCUGAAAAUUAAAGAAGACAAUGUAUUUAAAGUAGGUUAUGGUUUGGGUAUGGUAUCAUCCAAAUACUCCUGUGUUCAUGCAGGAAUAUUCAGAGGUAAAAUGGUUAAACUAUGAGACCUAAUCAGUCCAUACUAGUGUGCAAGGGCUAACUGGGUGGUAACUGUAGGCAGGUGGAGUGUGGCUGCAGAAUGUGGGUUACUGGGGGAAUUUCCUAGAAGGGUGCAUCUGCUUUACAGCCCCUUCCUCUCUCUUUUAAUAUUUCCCAACUGCCACAUCCUUUGGCCACAGUGCUCUGCCUUACUUCAGAUCCAGAGCAAUGGAGCUACAAAUCACGGACCAAAUCUCUGAAACCAUUAGCCAAAAUAAACUUUUCCUUCUCUAGGUUGUUAUUGUCAUGUAUUUUGGUUCAGCAACGAAGAACUGACUAACAAAUAUUACUUAGCUCAGAGUUUUCUUGUGGUUUUUUUUUCUUUUUUUAGAGAGAGAAAGAAUUUUUUAAUAUUUAUUUUUUAGUUUUUCGUGGACACAACAUCUUUAUUUUUUAAUUUUUUUAUGUGGUGCUGAGGAUUGAAUCCAGCACCCCAGAGAGAGAAUUUUUUAAUAUUUAUUUUUUAGUUUUCGGUGGACACAACAUCUUUAUUUUUAAAUUGUUUUUAUGUGGUGCAAAGGAUCGAACCCAGCGCCCUGUGCAUGCCAGGCGAGCAUGCUACCGCUUGAGCCUCAUCCCCAGCCCCUAGCUCAGAGCUUUGUAUGUAACAAAUAUUCAACAAAUAAUAACUAUUGUAAUUUUGACCAUGUGUGCUCAAUAAUAAACAACAGCAGCUAAUGUUAACUCGGCACUUCCUGCAAGGCUGACGGUGGGUAAGAAUUUUGCAUGUAUGAUCUUAUGACUUAGGGUUGAUAUUAUUAACAUGCCCAUUCUAUAGGUGAGGAAACCAGGGCUUGAGAAGUUCCGCAAUUUGCUUAAGGUGUCGCAGCUUCAGUAUCAGGGGCAGGAUUUGGAUUCAAUUAGUCUGGCUGCAGGAUCUAUGCUCUCUACCACCAAGCAGUUUUGAUUGUCUUCUGCCCUGACUUGGCUUUUUCAGUAGCACUGACUCCAGGGUAACAUGGCCAUCAGUCAGAUUUUCUCAUAUCAGUCAGCAAUAUGACAGUGUAUGAAUGAGUGAGUGUGUGUGUGUGCAUGCGUGUAUGUGUAUGUUUGUUGACAAAGGCCAGGUUGCAGUGAUAGUUAUGAAUAUUUCCAGGUCAAACUGAUGCUCAAAGAACCAUAUAUUGGUGUCUCCAAAGAGAAACUACUUUUUGUCUUACUAUGAAUAUAUUUUACACAGGCAAUGUCCCAAGGGAGAAAGGACCUGCAGGUGUGACCAGAGAAUAUGUGAAGGAAAGAAAAAAUCAGAGCAACCCAUCCUAUCCCAGAGCACAGCACCAUGAAAUGUUCUUUAAGGGCUACUGAGUUUCCCCAGGAUGGUUUUCCUAAGAGAAAAAUGCAGAAAGAACUGGGGUGAGGGAAAUACAUUUUUGAAGACUGCUUAGGACUAUCUCAUGAAGGAGAAACAGUCCUCAUCCCAUCCACACUCAGCGCACUUACUAACCCCAAGAAACCAUUCUUUUCUAUUGUGCAUUCUAUCCUCUCCCAAGUGCUGAAGGAUUGAUCUAUAGAGACAGUCUCCAAGUGCCCUGGUUGCUACUUGGUUAUUCCAUAGCAAUCCUUUCCAGACACCUCUGAGUUCCAGAUCAUUGAAGGUCUUGGGUCUCUAUAACUCUUCCCUGGGCCUGUUUCCCAGAUUCCCCUGAAUGGGUUAUCUCAGCACUCACACACUUGAAGGAUGACAACAAAUUGCCACCAGACAGAAAAGCUACCAGCACCAUCUGGACAAUGCAGAAUUAUGUCUAUGACUCUACCAACAUAAAUAAUCAAUCUGAAAAUGUGAACAUUUUGCCAUCCCCAAACCUCAGAUAUCAGUCCUUCCUUUAGGGUGACUUCCAAGGUCAGAGUUCUGUUGCUUGAGCUAUGGCUUCUGUCCAAUAGUUCAACAACUGUGGUGCAAUUUCUGUGUGUGAAUAUAGAGAUGUUCUUCAACUAUGUUUAGGCUGCUUGAGAGAUAGACAGGUUUCUAAUUUCAUCUCAAAGUACUCAGUAUCUGUGAGUCACUAAC
RNAcentral lists this long non-coding RNA (5767 nucleotides) under Marmota monax (woodchuck). The record is from RNAcentral. Lineage: Eukaryota; Metazoa; Chordata; Mammalia; Rodentia; Sciuridae.